Molecule: ribosomal RNA, 834 nt
Filed under: Triticum aestivum (bread wheat)
Lineage: Eukaryota; Viridiplantae; Streptophyta; Magnoliopsida; Poales; Poaceae
Description: partial small subunit ribosomal RNA
Source: RNAcentral
AUGCUUCCGCGUGCGUGCGCAGGGCCGGACCAGAGCUCGGACACCAUGGAGGAACACCGCUCCCGCUCCCCGGCGUCGUCGAACGUGGCGGAGGCGCCGCGCCGGCGGUACCGCGGGGUGCGGCAGCGGCCGUGGGGCAAGUGGGCGGCGGAGAUCCGGGACCCGCACAAGGCGGCGCGCGUCUGGCUCGGCACCUUCGAGACGGCCGAGGCCGCGGCGCGCGCCUACGACGACGCAGCGCUGCGCUUCCGCGGCAGCCGCGCCAAGCUCAACUUCCCCGAGGACGCGCGCCUGCACCCGGCCACCGUCACCCCCGCCGCCGCGCCGGCCCGGGCGCCGAUCGCCGCGCAGUCGGCCUCGACGCCCGCCAUGUACGCCGGCUCCACCCAGGCCUCCGACUACCUGCGCUACCAGAUGCUCCUGCAGGGCAGGGGCGCCGCCGCCGCCAACCAAGGCAACCUUCUCUCGUUCUACGGCGGGGGCGGGGGCGGGGGCGGCGCCAUGAGCAGCUCGUAUGGCGGCGGUGUCAUGAGCAGCUCCUAUGGCGGCGGCGGCGGCGGCGGCGGCACCAUGAGCGGUUUCCUGGGGUCCUACUACUCGUUCCCGUCCUCCUCCGUCUCGGUGGCCACGGUGCCGUCCUCCUCCUCCGCGUCCUCCGCUCCGGGCCACCACUACUCGUCGCCGCACGACCCGCAGCAGCACCAGCAGCAGCAGGGCGACGCGGCGGCGGAGUGGAGCUGGGAGAGCGCGCUGGCGCCGGACCCUGGCACGACGACGGCGGCCUCCUGGUCCGACUCGAGCCAGCAGCCGUACCACCCGCCGCACACCCAAUAG